AGUGAACGCUGGCGGUAGGCCUAACACAUGCAAGUCGAACGGCAGCACAGUAAGAGCUUGCUCUUACGGGUGGCGAGUGGCGGACGGGUGAGGAAUACAUCGGAAUCUACUUUUUCGUGGGGGAUAACGUAGGGAAACUUACGCUAAUACCGCAUACGACCUACGGGUGAAAGCAGGGGAUCUUCGGACCUUGCUCGAUUGAAUGAGCCGAUGUCGGAUUAGCUAGUUGGCGGGGUAACGGCCCACCAAGGCGACGCUCCGUAGCUGGUCUGAGAGGAUGAUCAGCCACACUGGAACUGAGACACGGUCCAGACUCCUACGGGAGGCAGCAGUGGGGAAUAUUGGACAAUGGGCGCAAGCCUGAUCCAGCCAUACCGCGUGGGUGAAGAAGGCCUUCGGGUUGUAAAGCCCUUUUGUUGGGAAAGAAAAGCAGCAGGUUAAUACCCCGCUGUUCUGACGGUACCCAAAGAAUAAGCACCGGCUAACUUCGUG
This 492-nucleotide ribosomal RNA is filed under the name uncultured bacterium. Its description in RNAcentral is "partial 16S ribosomal RNA". It matches the Rfam family "Bacterial small subunit ribosomal RNA", at positions 29 to 507 of the family's 1533-position model. The record is from RNAcentral.